ACCCAGACUCCUACGGGAGGCAGCAGUGGGGAAUAUUGCGCAAUGGGGGCAACCCUGACGCAGCAACGCCGCGUGAUUGAAGAAGGCCUUCGGGUUGUAAAGAUCUUUAAUCGGGGACGAAUUUUGACGGUACCCGAAGAAUAAGCUCCGGCUAACUACGUGCCAGCAGCCGCGGUAAUACGUAGGGGGCAAGCGUUAUCCGGAUUUACUGGGUGUAAAGGGAGCGUAGACGGCAAUACAAGUCGGAAGUGAAAUACCCGGGCUUAACCUGGGAACUGCUUUGGAAACUGUAUGGCUGGAGUGCUGGAGAGGUAAGCGGAAUUCCUAGUGUAGCGGUGAAAUGCGUAGAUAUUAGGAGGAACACCAGUGGCGAAGGCGGCCUACUGGGCUUUAACUGACGCUGAGGCACGAAAGCGUGGGUAGCAAACAGGAUUAGAUACCCCCGUAA
RNAcentral lists this ribosomal RNA (448 nucleotides) under uncultured bacterium. RNAcentral describes it as "bacterial SSU rRNA". It matches the Rfam family "Bacterial small subunit ribosomal RNA", at positions 329 to 793 of the family's 1533-position model. The record is from RNAcentral.